RNAcentral lists this long non-coding RNA (2573 nucleotides) under Homo sapiens (human). RNAcentral describes it as "non-protein coding lnc-MTERF4-3:2". The record is from RNAcentral. Lineage: Eukaryota; Metazoa; Chordata; Mammalia; Primates; Hominidae.
GAAGGACGGGGGAGGACCGCUGCUUCCGGCGCCGUAACUGCUGCCAUCUUCUCCGCGCUAUGGCUGCGUUCGGCCGUCAGCAGCCUCGUCUUACAGCGUGACUGCAAAGAAAAAGACUUUUGUUUUGCAAAAGAAAAGCAGCUCGGUGACUCCGUCCACAUCGCCACAGUUGAGUCAGAUGGCAGUGGCAGUCCUUUGCCAGUGGAAGGAGUUCCUGCUAAGGGGAGGUGCAGGAGGACUAAUUUAUUAUUGUGCAACUGCCAGUCCUGCGCAUUCCAGCUACGCUAAGCGCCCUGCCCAGGCACGUAACAAAACAUAGACCUGUUUUGAAGUGGCUUGUUACCCAAGGGUGCCUCACUCAUCUGCGCCACCAGGAAGAUGAACUGUGAGGGCUCCUAUAAGGGGCAGGAAGAGCAAAGCUGUCCUAGGCCAACCAGAGAUUCAUCUUUCAUGCAGUGACAUGUUGAUAAAAAAUGAUGGUCAGUAUGAAACUGGUAACAGGUUGUAGAUGGCUUUCUAUGGUAUAUCCCAGUCUCUUGCAAACGAUUGUGAAGAAUGCCAGUGUUGUUUAAGAUUCGGCAGUUUGUGUGGGGAGGUGGGGGCAGGAUGGGGUUUGGUUGCCAAAAGAGUUUGGGAAAUGCUGGCUUAAACAAAGGCGAGAGGAAGUUCCUUUCACGUCAGGAUUUAUGAAUGCCUAUGAGCCCAGUGUCAGUGACGACUUUCUAGCGGCGGUCUUCAACACUUUCUAAAUAUUAAGCGAUCAAGGCCCCUGCCCCACUUUUAGUUCCAACAGAAUGCCGUUCACAAGAUCUGGGAGGCACUCUCUCAGCCCUCUCCUGGAGCCCCCGGAAUUUCUCAGCAGCCCAGGCCCUCCCGCUGCCCGUGGCCCCUCCUCCCAGGUGCCAGGUGGUCUUCCAGCCUCUCCAAGGGCCCACCCCCCUGCCUCUUCCUCCCACUGCAGCUGAUCUAGGGGUUUCUUGGCCACAUUUCCCUUGAGAGAGAGUGGGAUUUGCCCUAUCCACAGAGAGCCUCAUUUCCACCUGAAGGUGUAUUUGUCAGUGGCUAGACCAGGUUCAUGUCUGUUUCCCCUUGGGGACUUCUGAACCUUCCUGCCCGGGAGUCUGUAACACAGCAGCACAGGACCGCGCUUCCUUUAGCAGUGCUGAGUAAGCAGGCAGCGGCACUCUGAGAUCCCGGGGCUGGGCAGUCGCCCCCCACUUCCCAGCAGCUCUGUGGUAGUGGGGCGGGAGCAGCAGGGACGUACCUUAAGAUUUCUCCAGUGUCUGACUCUUACUUUGUUUCCUGAAAUAAUUAGAGAAAAGUCGUUUAAUGAAAAAGAGACUGUGUACCUUGAAUUCUACAGCUACCUCAGUCCAGGCUGCCUGCUGAGAUCCUGUCUUUAGCUCACAUACAUUCCACGGUGGGGGACACCAUUAGUCCAGACACCGCUGUGGAGAUUAGCAUUUUAGUUUGUGUGCGCCCGCCUGGCUUGAGGCAGUAGUUUAGGAAUGACAAGGCUAGAAACCUGGCUGGCUGUGAGUCAGAGAGAGAGAGGAUGGACGUGGGAGAAAGCAAGCAAAAGCUACCCUAGGGAAGAGCCGGUGACGUGCACAGGCCGAGCAGCACGGCUGGUGAGCUGCAGGCUGCGGCCUUGCCCGGACACUUGGUAAUGCCAAACAAGUACGUGUGGCUACUCAUUGGUCUAUGAGGACGAUGACAGGCUUCGACUCUGUGGUUUCUAAAGCAUAUAAUAUUCUCACGUACUUCUUUCAGCAAACGCCAAACAGUAGUAAUUCUUGUAACUACCUUGAACCCUUUGUGGAAAGAACCUGGGUGUGAGUGAAUAAAAAGUAAAGAGCGACGCGCUAUAUCGGCCAUUAAAUACUCGGGGCUGUCCGUAACACCCUGUGCUUCCCAAUUGUAGCACCAUGUUCUGUGUGAAUAUGCAUAACCAGAGUGACCCCCCCCAGCACCCAGCAUGCCCGGCUGUGCCCCUCUGGGUAUGCUCACAUGCACAUAUAUGGACAUACAGUUUCGUAGCAGAACGUGGCUGCCCAGGGGCUGCCUAUCUGGGCGAGUAGACCGCCUGGCUCAGCCCACAGGCCUGCAGCAUCCCAUAGCACCCCGCCCUUGCCCCAUCACCCUGUGGGCUACAUGCAGGACACGGCAUGGGCCUGCUCCCCAGAGGCACCUGUUUGGGGUCUUCUUGAGGCUUGUGCUUUCACAGCUCUCUUUGAAGCAGAUGUCUUGGUGAACUCGGUAGACUCUUUUAUACCUGUUGUCACAAGAAAGCUUUGUAAAACCAGACAGUGAAGCAAAAUGUUGCCAACUGCUUAACCUAGGCUAUGUGAACCCACAGUAAACCUGAAGGUGUUUGAGGGAAAAACUGCUAUUUUCUGAAUGAAACGUGACCUCCUAUUGAUGUAUUAAAAUGUCUAACAUAAAGGUCAUGUGAUUUGUAAUAAAUUUAUUGUGGUACAGUAAUAUGCAUAAAAUAAACCCAUUUUAAUGUGCAUUCUGAUGAGCACUGACAAAGGAUAUGGUACUAAAAAUAAAAUGUGAAAUGUCAAAGA